UUUCUCUUGAGGAUUACAAGAGUGGUUC
Molecule: non-coding RNA, 28 nt
Filed under: Rattus norvegicus (Norway rat)
Lineage: Eukaryota; Metazoa; Chordata; Mammalia; Rodentia; Muridae
Source: RNAcentral